GACGAACGCUGGCGGCGUGCCUAAUACAUGCAAGUUGAGCGCUGAAGGUUGGUACUUGUACCAACUGGAUGAGCAGCGAACGGGUGAGUAACGCGUGGGGAAUCUGCCUUUGAGCGGGGGACAACAUUUGGAAACGAAUGCUAAUACCGCAUAAAAACUUUAAACACAAGUUUUAAGUUUGAAAGAUGCAAUUGCAUCACUCAAAGAUGAUCCCGCGUUGUAUUAGCUAGUUGGUGAGGUAAAGGCUCACCAAGGCGAUGAUACAUAGCCGACCUGAGAGGGUGAUCGGCCACAGUGGGACUGAGACACGGCCCAAACUCCUACGGGAGGCAGCAGUAGGGAAUCUUCGGAAAUGGACGAAAGUCUGACCGAGCAACGCCGCGGGAGUGAAGAAGGUUUUCGGAUCGUAAAACUCUGUUGGUAGAGAAGAACGUUGGUGAGAGUGGAAAGCUCAUCAAGUGACGGUAACUACCCAGAAAGGGACGGCUAACUACGUG
This 497-nucleotide ribosomal RNA is filed under the name uncultured bacterium. RNAcentral's name for it is "partial 16S ribosomal RNA". It matches the Rfam family "Bacterial small subunit ribosomal RNA", at positions 28 to 507 of the family's 1533-position model. The record is from RNAcentral.